UGGGGAAUAUUGCACAAUGGGGGAAACCCUGAUGCAGCGACGCCGCGUGGAGGAAGAAGGUCUUCGGAUUGUAAACUCCUGUUGUUGGGGAAGAUAAUGACGGUACCCAACAAGGAAGUGACGGCUAACUACGUGCCAGCAGCCGCGGUAAAACGUAGGUCACAAGCGUUGUCCGGAAUUACUGGGUGUAAAGGGAGCGCAGGCGGGAAGACAAGUUGGAAGUGAAAUCUAUGGGCUCAACCCAUAAACUGCUUUCAAAACUGUUUUUCUUGAGUAGUGCAGAGGUAGGCGGAAUUCCCGGUGUAGCGGUGGAAUGCGUAGAUAUCGGGAGGAACACCAGUGGCGAAGGCGGCCUACUGGGCACCAACUGACGCUGAGGCUCGAAAGUGUGGGUAGCAAACAGGAUUAGAUACCCUGGUAGUCCACACCGUAAACGAUGAUUACUAGGUGUUGGAGGAUUGACCCCUUCAGUGCCGCAGUUAACACAAUAAGUAAUCCACCUGGGGAGUACGACCGCAAGGUUGAAACUCAAAGGAAUUGACGGGGGCCCGCACAAGCAGUGGAGUAUGUGGUUUAAUUCGACGCAACGCGAAGAACCUUACCAAGUCUUGACAUCCCUUGACAGACAUAGAAAUAUGUAAUCUCUUCGGAGCAAGGAGACAGGUGGUGCAUGGUUGUCGUCAGCUCGUGUCGUGAGAUGUUGGGUUAAAUCCCGCAACGAGCGCAACCCUUAUGGUCAGUUACUACGCAAGAGGACUCUGGCCAGACUGCCGUUGACAAAACGGAGGAAGGUGGGGAUGACGUCAAAUCAUCAUGCCCUUUAUGACUUGGGCUACACACGUACUACAAUGGCGUUAAACAAAGAGAAGCAAGACCGCGAGGUGGAGCAAAACUCAGAAACAACGUCCCAGUUCGGACUGCAGGCUGCAACUCGCCUGCACGAAGUCGGAAUUGCUAGUAAUCGUGGAUCAGCAUGCCACGGUGAAUACGUUCCC
Molecule: ribosomal RNA, 995 nt
Filed under: uncultured bacterium
Lineage: Bacteria
Description: bacterial SSU rRNA
Rfam family: Bacterial small subunit ribosomal RNA
Source: RNAcentral